AAGGGGCAGUAAGGCGUGGGUACCUACCCCGGGGUCCGGGAUAGCCGUCCGAGAGGGCGGGUAAUACCGGAUGACCUCGGGAGAGCAAAGAUUUAUCGCCCCGGGCGGGGCCCACGUGAUAUUACCUGGUUGGCGGGGUAACGGCCCACCAAGGGGGAGAUGUCUAGCGGGUGUGAGAGCACGACCCGCGCCACUGGCACUGAGACACUGGCCAGACACCUACGGGUGGCUGCAGUCGAGGAUCUUCGGCAAUGGGCGCAAGCCCGACCGAGCGAUGCCGCGUGUGCGACGAAGGCCUUCGGGUUGUAAAGCACUGUCGAGGGGGAGAAACGCCGCAAGGCUUGAUCUAUCCCUGGAGGAAGCUCGGGCUAAGUUCGUGCCAGCAGCCGCGGUAAGACGAACCGAGCGAACGUUGUUCGGAAUCACUGGGCUUAAAGGGCGCGUAGGCGGACUGCCGCGUCCGGGGUGAAAUCCUCCGGCUCAACCGGGGAAGGGCCUCGGAUACGGGCGGUCUGGAGGGGGGUAGGGGCGUGCGGAACUGUGGGUGGAGCGGUGAAAUGCGUUGA
This 566-nucleotide ribosomal RNA is filed under the name uncultured Planctomycetaceae bacterium. Its description in RNAcentral is "bacterial SSU rRNA". It matches the Rfam family "Bacterial small subunit ribosomal RNA", at positions 102 to 694 of the family's 1533-position model. The record is from RNAcentral. Lineage: Bacteria; Pseudomonadati; Planctomycetota; Planctomycetia; Planctomycetales; Planctomycetaceae.